CCGUCCGGAGAGCAAGACGG
This 20-nucleotide small nuclear RNA is filed under the name Arabidopsis thaliana (thale cress). RNAcentral describes it as "snRNA_17628". Lineage: Eukaryota; Viridiplantae; Streptophyta; Magnoliopsida; Brassicales; Brassicaceae. The record is from RNAcentral.